UACGGGGGGAGCAAGCGUUGUUCGGAUUUACUGGGACGUAAAGGGCGCGUAGGCGGUCGUGACAAGUCACUUGUGAAAUCUCCGGGCUUAACUCGGAAACGGUCAAGUGAUACUGUCGGACUAGAGUACAGAAGGGGCAACUGGAAUUCUCGGUGUAGCGGUGAAAUGCGCAGAUAUCAGGAAGAACACCAGUGGCGAAGGCGGCUCACUGGUCCGAUACUGACGCUGAGGUGCGAAAGCGUGGGGAGCAAACAGG
This 256-nucleotide ribosomal RNA is filed under the name uncultured bacterium. RNAcentral's name for it is "partial 16S ribosomal RNA". It matches the Rfam family "Bacterial small subunit ribosomal RNA", at positions 524 to 776 of the family's 1533-position model. The record is from RNAcentral.